This is a long non-coding RNA of Malania oleifera, 677 nucleotides long. RefSeq lists it as uncharacterized. NCBI's taxonomy places the organism in Eukaryota, Viridiplantae, Streptophyta, Magnoliopsida, Santalales, Ximeniaceae. The record is from RefSeq and is a predicted model, not a curated record. The transcript has 3 exons.
CCUCUCUUGGCCCAACCCCCAACACCAUCUGCCACACCAAUGGUCUGCUCCUCAGCACAAAUGAAGUGAGCAUCUUCUCCAUAAGGUUUUGAGGGGUUGUCUUUAGGUGAUCUAAUGAACAAUGGGAGGUUAUGCUAAAGUCUAAUCAGAAGAGAUGGAAGGUAAUGGAUGCUUUGGGUGAAAACUUCACUGCUUCCACAACCACCUGAUUCAUUAGAGCAUGGAGUGAAGCCUUCAGCUAGUCCUAGAGAUGAGGAUGAGAAUGCAGACUCCAUGGUGGAGAAAACAUAUGCAGUAAAGAUUGAUGAGGUGAUAAGAGAUCUCCUUGCAUGCUGAAAGAACUAAGAAGUUAAUGCGUGUCAUGACCUGAAUAUGGAGGUUCUCCUAGAAACUAGGAUUAGCAGUAUAGGAGCUGAAAAGGCUGUGAAGGAACUUGGCUUCCAAAGAGAAUGGCAAGAAAUUCAAGGCAUUGCGGGGGUAUCUGGGUGCUAUGUGGAUGCCAGAAUGUUGAUAUUUAUAUCCAAUAUCAUUCCAUUUGUGUUUAUUUUUAUUCCAUUUUAUUUUUUUUUUUUUUAAAAGUAGGCAUUGAUUUUUUUAAUUCCAUUUAGAAUUUGUAUUCCUUACAGGCAUCUAACUGGUGCUGUUAUUUUUAAGUGAGAAAUUGUGUUUCAAAUUAA